UCUGGUUAGUUAAACUAAAGAUCUUUUUCUAUAGACCAAUCCUACACAUCAUAAAAUUGCAAACAGAAUGAAUUCUCAACCAAUUUUUUAAUGAUGGAUAAGUUUAUGACGAUGCCAUAGAAUUGCCGAGUGAUCGAUCAAGUCAAGAACGAGAUAGUCAUUUAGGGGACACGAAAGGUGAGAGAUCCUUCUGAAGUCAACCAAAUCGCUCCGUAAUUUAUAUACCUCACACCUACAAUUUAUACAGCAUUAAUGUAAGCUUAUAGUUCUGCAAUUUGUACUAUUGAUUGGAUAAAUAAUGAGUUACAGAAUGGGUGAAUAUCUGAAUAUAGGAAAAGAACAUGA
Molecule: long non-coding RNA, 345 nt
Organism: Centruroides sculpturatus (bark scorpion)
Lineage: Eukaryota; Metazoa; Arthropoda; Arachnida; Scorpiones; Buthidae
Exons: 3
Source: RefSeq, a predicted model, not a curated record